This is a non-coding RNA of Parasteatoda tepidariorum (common house spider), 879 nucleotides long. NCBI's taxonomy places the organism in Eukaryota, Metazoa, Arthropoda, Arachnida, Araneae, Theridiidae. The record is from RefSeq and is a predicted model, not a curated record.
AAUUAAGUUGCGUGCAUUGAGAGUAUUCAAUUUGUUAAAGUAUCAAAAAUACGUAAUCAAUUUUUAAGCUUAUAUUUUAAAACAUAAAUUAGGUAGUCGUAGGUGAUGUGAAAUGCAGCUGUCGCUUACUUAUACACCAUAGACGAAUGAUUGGUAGACUUAUGCACAUAAUAGAAGUAAGUCUAUGCAUACAUUCUGUUAUGUUACAUUUUACUCCAUGUUUCUUUUUAUUGAGGACCGUCUCUGAUAGAAAUGUCGCCUAACCUAAUUGAACAAGAAGAUGAAUAAAGGCCAGGAUCAAAAAGUGGGAAGAAUUAGCUAGAAGUUCUUUAUAAGGGAAUGAAGGAAAUAUUGUUGGUGUCAAUGCUGGGACUCGAACCUCCGUACUGUCGGUCACGAGAUUGACAGACCUCUCAGCUAUAAUAUGUACCCAUUUGCCAGGAAUUAAGUGACUUCUUCAGAUUAAAAUACAGGAAAACUAGAAAAAAAGUACAUAUUACAGAGACUGAACUAUGUCUGAGAUUCUCGAAUUCUAAAACUAGAAAGAAGAAACUGAAAGUUAAUAUUUAUAUAAGUUAUAAUUAACUGAAUUUUAAUUUAAUGAAUAACAUGAAUUUUGAAGUGUUGAAAGUCACUUUUAAGAGCCAUUAAAAAUAAUAUGGUCUUUUACUAAAACAACUUUGUGUUUAUGGAUGUUCUCUGUUUUAUUAUUUAUUUAUUUUUAGAGCGGAAGUUGUAACAAUUAUUAUCCAAAUAUGCUAGUUAUUUCGUCAUUCCAACUGAAUUAGUUUGCAUCUCAGAGCAGUGAUUUAGAUAAUAUAUUUAAUAAAUAUUUAUAAAUAGAUAUUACUUUUAAAAUAAUUGAAUUUUAAUUUAAUG